AUUGAACGCUGGCGGCAGGCUUAACACAUGCAAGUCGAGCGGAGAUGAGGUGCUUGCACCUUAUCUUAGCGGCGGACGGGUGAGUAAUGCUUAGGAAUCUGCCUAUUAGUGGGGGACAACAUUCCGAAAGGAAUGCUAAUACCGCAUACGUCCUACGGGAGAAAGCAGGGGAUCUUCGGACCUUGCGCUAAUAGAUGAGCCUAAGUCGGAUUAGCUAGUUGGUGGGGUAAAGGCCUACCAAGGCGACGAUCUGUAGCGGGUCUGAGAGGAUGAUCCGCCACACUGGGACUGGAACACGGCCCAGACUCCUACGGGAGGCAGCAGUGGGGAAUAUUGGACAAUGGGGGGAACCCUGAUCCAGCCAUGCCGCGUGUGUGAAGAAGGCCUUAUGGUUGUAAAGCACUUUAAGCGAGGAGGAGGCUACUGAGACUAAUACUCUUGGAUAGUGGACGUUACUCGCAGAAUAAGCACCGGCUAACUCUGUGCCAGCCGCCGGGGUAA
Molecule: ribosomal RNA, 501 nt
Filed under: uncultured bacterium
Lineage: Bacteria
Description: partial 16S ribosomal RNA
Rfam family: Bacterial small subunit ribosomal RNA
Source: RNAcentral